AGUCGGACGGCAGCACAGAGAAGCUUGCUUCUUGGGUGGCGAGUGGCGAACGGGUGAGUAAUAUAUCGGAACGUACCGAGUAAUGGGGGAUAACUAAUCGAAAGAUUAGCUAAUACCGCAUAUUCUCUGAGGAGGAAAGCAGGGGACCUUCGGGCCUUGCGUUAUUCGAGCGGCCGAUAUCUGAUUAGCUAGUUGGUGGGGUAAAGGCCUACCAAGGCGACGAUCAGUAGCGGGUCUGAGAGGAUGAUCCGCCACACUGGGACUGAGACACGGCCCAGACUCCUACGGGAGGCAGCAGUGGGGAAUUUUGGACAAUGGGCGCAAGCCUGAUCCAGCCAUGCCGCGUGUCUGAAGAAGGCCUUCGGGUUGUAAAGGACUUUUGUCAGGGAAGAAAAGGUUGUUGCUAAUAUCAACAGCUGAUGACGGUACCUGAAGAAUAAGCACCGGCUAACUACGUGC
RNAcentral lists this ribosomal RNA (459 nucleotides) under Neisseria sp. C112. RNAcentral's name for it is "bacterial SSU rRNA". It matches the Rfam family "Bacterial small subunit ribosomal RNA", at positions 60 to 508 of the family's 1533-position model. The record is from RNAcentral. Lineage: Bacteria; Pseudomonadati; Pseudomonadota; Betaproteobacteria; Neisseriales; Neisseriaceae.